Molecule: ribosomal RNA, 497 nt
Filed under: uncultured bacterium
Lineage: Bacteria
Description: partial 16S ribosomal RNA
Rfam family: Bacterial small subunit ribosomal RNA
Source: RNAcentral
GAUGAACGCUGGCGGCGUGCCUAAUACAUGCAAGUCGAGCGAACAGACGAGGAGCUUGCUCCUCUGACGUUAGCGGCGGACGGGUGAGUAACACGUGGAUAACCUACCUAUAAGACUGGGAUAACUUCGGGAAACCGGAGCUAAUACCGGAUAAUAUAUUGAACCGCAUGGUUCAAUAGUGAAAGACGGUUUUGCUGUCACUUAUAGAUGGAUCCGCGCCGCAUUAGCUAGUUGGUAAGGUAACGGCUUACCAAGGCAACGAUGCGUAGCCGACCUGAGAGGGUGAUAGGCCACACGGGAACUGAGACACGGUCCAGACUACUAAGGGAGGCAGCAGUAGGGAAUCUGCCGCAAUGGGCGAAAGCCUGACGGAGCAACGCCGCGUGAGUGAUGAAGGUCUUCGGAUCGUAAAACUCUGUUAUUAGGGAAGAACAAAUGUGUAAGUAACUAUGCACGUCUUGACGGUACCUAAUCAGAAAGCCACGGCUAACUACGUG